Molecule: long non-coding RNA, 1045 nt
Organism: Neogale vison (American mink)
Lineage: Eukaryota; Metazoa; Chordata; Mammalia; Carnivora; Mustelidae
Exons: 5
Source: RefSeq, a predicted model, not a curated record
CCACCAGCCGGUGUCUCCAGGCAGAAACGCUUCAGCACCACCCCAAGAGAAUAGAGCGCGGCCUGGGGCUGCGGAGGGACCAGGCGACUGAGUUUUCCGUCUGCCUCAUCCACUCUUCAGAAGCAGGUUACCCUCCUCCCGAGAAAUCAUUAGAGGGCCAAUAGAAGCCUGACCCUACGUCACAGCGCCUGCGUCAUUUCCUACGUCUUUUCCUCCUGGAGCCAUUUUCUCUUCUCACAUCAUCAGAGUUAGGUAAUAGGUACAAGAAGAAAAACUUACUGGCGCCACACCUUGUUUCGUUUCUACUUGCUACUUACGUGAACAUGUAAGACAAGCUUCAUCUGGUGACCAUCAGGCAACAUGCUAAAGACUGACUGAACAGAAAGCUAGAAAGGCCUGGAUCGCAAUGAAGGUGAACCAAGGCUGCCACUGCCUGCCUCCCGACUACUCAUUGGCUCCUAGAGACAGUGAUUGCACCCGAAGCGCUGCUGUUUGUAACAUCAGUCAGUGAUUCCCAACUCUCUCGGCUUCUGCCAGGGACUCACGCUUGGACUCCGUUCCCUUGCUGGAUUCCAGGCCUUCCGUGUCUUCAAGAGAACGAAAAGAACACAUUCACAAAAGCCAUGGAGCUUCUGCCAUGUGUCUGAAGCCUCAGUAAUGCUAACAACAGUCUCCAAAGAGAACACAUCAAAGGCAACUGACAUUGCUGUUAUUACAGAACAACAGAAGAGAAACGAGACAGAGAGAUACCAAACAGCCAAAAGGCUGAUCUAAAUACAAACAUACCAAUUCCUAGAGUACUGUGAAUGUACCAAACACUCCAGUGAAAAGCCACAGAUUGACAGACUGGAUCAAAAAGGAAGAUGCAAAUGUAUACUGUCCACAGUUUUUUUUUUUUUAGGAUGAUAGAAGUAUUAUAGAACUUGACAAUGGUGAUGGUUGGAAAACAUGUACAUUUUUCCAAAAUGGAUCAAACUUAAAAAGGCUGAGUGUUACUAUGUAUAAAUUCUAUCUCAAUAAAGCUGUAAAGCUGGAACAUAUCUCA